ACUCUGUUGCCCAGUUUGGAAUGCAGUGGUGUAAUCAAGGCUCAUUGCAGCCGUGACCUCCCAGGACCUAGUAAUCCUCCCACCUCAGCCUCCUUCGCAGAUGAUACCACAGGUAAUUUUCCAUUGCAUCGGUUCUUCUGGUGUUUUCAGGAUCUGUGCCAAAUGCGAGGCUGCCCUUGCCACUAAGGAUUUCUAACAUUGCAACUAUCAAGAUGAUGAUGAACUCAUCAAUAGAUGGAGAGAGACUGCUGUAUUUUGAAGGACUCUGGAUAAUAAAUAGACCAUUUGACCAUAAUGCUGUGAAAAAGCCCAACUUAAUCUACUCAAUAUGAAAGUCUCUGCAGAAAGAAGAAUGGAGGUACUCUGGUGACAGCUGGUACCAUGUUCCAAAGGCCAUCUUCAGCCUGCAGAUUCAGGGAAGACAUCAGAUGACGGUAGUCACAUGAGCCCAGCGCUGUCAUCCUGAAGAAAAGUAACAUCUGUUUUGACAUCUCCAGUGGUAGAGACUUUAAAUCAGUUUCCACAUUGCUUAUCUGCUGGCUAAUCAGAAUGGAUGCAAUAUUCUUACCAACUCAUUGACAGGGAAAAAGAAAAGAUAUGCAGAGAAAUAAGACCUGUUGAAGAAGCACCUACAUACUAAUGUUAUCACAGAUACAGACCAUCAGCAAAUCAAAAUUCGGAACCGCAGAUAACUUUCUGAGGGUAAAACGAGAAAGAUUCUAAGAAACAGUCAUUCUGUGUUUGAAAGAACCGUGACUCCUAAACUAUCACAAUCCUAUUUCCUGUUAUGCCUAUUGUUCAUGCUUUCUGUAAUGUCUUAUCAUUUUGACAGAUUAAGCAAAUUCAUGUUAAAUUACACAAAAGCAGUAAAAGUAAAAGCAUUUAGGUAUAGAAAACAUGCAUAGAAAAUCAUGAUUUAUUUCAGCA
Long non-coding RNA from Symphalangus syndactylus (siamang), 927 nucleotides. RefSeq lists it as uncharacterized. Lineage: Eukaryota; Metazoa; Chordata; Mammalia; Primates; Hylobatidae. The record is from RefSeq and is a predicted model, not a curated record.